AAUUCAAAGAAAAUCAAUCAAUAUAAAAUCAGCGUUACUUUAUUAAAUUGAAUGUAAUUCUUAUUUGAUGUGUUCACUAGAAUAUCGUGUUGAGAAAAUGCAAUACAUUUCAGUUUGUUGUCGCUGUGGUAGCUUAACUGACUAACAAAACACCAUUAUGUCAAGAGAAUUUCAAAACAGUAUUAUCUCUUCGUCACUAGAAAUAUCGACAGAGAAUAGAAAACAAAAGCUGUGUUAGGAGUAUUUUAUCAAAGUACCGAAAUAUAUUUGUUUUAAUUCCACUGUUCAUUGAUCUUACGUUACCAGCUGAAACUUACUUUACCCCCAUAACUCAGAUAAGGGAAAAUGUUGAUGGAGUUGAAUUUUUGGACAUCUAAAAAAUGAACGAUGAAAAUAUUACUUUAUAAACCUGAACAUUGCCUCUGGUGUCGUUUAUUUCUAAGUGGGUUCAUUUUUUCUACGCUUCACAAUACAAUACAGUGCAACAAGGUUGGUCCGAAGGAAAAGAACAACAAAAAAACACCUGACAUACACUGACAAAACGUGGUCGAAUAACUUUAGUUUAUCACAGCGUGGAUCAUACAGUUAAGGCAUUUACAUGACUAACUAUAAACGGCGGUAUAUAACAAAGAUGAUAUUAUGUUAUUUCAACUUCAAACAAUCAAUUAACAAAAUUAUUUUCAGUUCAUAUAUAAAUAAAGGAUUUUAAUGAUGGCUGAAAGAAUUCUUAAUCAACUUUUAAUAAGUUUGACCUAUACUAAUGUGUAAUAUGGGAUAAGACUUUUCAGUUCGUUUUGUGGUGGCGUCACUGGAGAGGUGUUGUCAUGGAUCGGAGGAGUGAUAAGGAAUAAUAAUGGGUUAUUGGUUAUGCUUAAAUGAACAUCACAUUUUUCUUCUCUCUAAUUUUAAUUUAAAGAAACUAUGUAAAUUUCAUGAUACAUAAAUGGAUACAUUAUUGAACUAUAUUAGAUAACUGUGAAAAAAUGUCCACGGAUAUCAAAUAUAUUUGCGCCCGAACCAAAUGAACAUAACAUAGCAUCACUGGAACAAAUGGAAUUAAAGUCAGAACUUAAACGUCAACUACUAGUACUCAGCUUAUUCACAUACUAAACAGCACAUUACAAUUAAUAUGUUUAUUUUUAUAUGAAUGUUUGUAUAAAUGUUUAUUAUUGUCAAAAUCAGAAAACUAUAAUUUGUGUCUUCUGUUAGAAAAUUGUAAACAAACCGAUUUAUAUAUAUGUAAU
Molecule: long non-coding RNA, 1244 nt
Organism: Daktulosphaira vitifoliae (grape phylloxera)
Lineage: Eukaryota; Metazoa; Arthropoda; Insecta; Hemiptera; Phylloxeridae
Exons: 5
Source: RefSeq, a predicted model, not a curated record